Molecule: long non-coding RNA, 3548 nt
Organism: Apis cerana (Asiatic honeybee)
Lineage: Eukaryota; Metazoa; Arthropoda; Insecta; Hymenoptera; Apidae
Source: RefSeq, a predicted model, not a curated record
UCGGGCAUUCGAGAAUCGAGCUGUGGCAUCGUGGACGGUUGCUUCAGUGGACGCGACGACGAACAAAGUCUCGCAUUGUGUUAGCUGCGAACGCGAUCAGGACUGCUGGGAAUAGUUAAGUGAUAAUAAUAACAGUACGAAUUUUUAGAAUAAUUUAUACCAGACUAGAUAUGGGUUGAGCUGGAUUCUUGGGGAUGAAGAAGGGAGAGAUUGCGGAGAAUGUGAAAAUCGAUAGAAGAAAUAGAAAAAGAAAUAGAAGAAGAAGAAGAAGAAGAAAAGAAACAGGCAACGAGAAACAGAAGAAUAUCGAUACGAUAGUACUGAGAAAAAAUAUUGGGAUUUUCUCGGAGAUGGAUAAUGACGAGUAAUUGGUGGACGAUAUAGAGGCAUUAAAAAGAAGAAGGAGAGAAAGAAAGAGAGGAAAAAAAAGUCGAGAGAAAGAAAGAAGGGAAGGAAAAACUAAUAAGGCAGAGAAGGAUGAGAGUUAAGACGAUACCAAAGAGCCAUUCUCUGUGCCCUUAUACACGAACGGUCGAUGAGAAUGUCGGUGGGGGUGGUUGCAGGAGAACUAACGGGGAGGAGAGGGUGCGCAAGGCUAGCGCGUGAGCGAAGAGGAGAGUAGUGAAGCAACAAAAGAAGAAGAAAGAUACAAGGAGAAAAAGGAAGAGUAUAGCAAGUAAGAUGAGGUAGUGGCAGAGAAGAAGAAAAGAAAAUAAGGGGAAAGAGAAGGAAAAGGUGGUGGUACCGAUAGAGGAAAAGGAGAGGAUCGAGUGGAUGGAAGGAAAAGGAAGAAACAGUAUACACGGAGGUUCGCGAGAGGCGCGAGUAGAGAGGCGAGUAAAGGGAAAGAAGGCUUCAGGAGGAACGUCGAAGAGAGUGACAGAGAAAGAACAUCAUGGGUGCGGGACGAUAAGCGAAUGAGAAGGAGCGAAGGGGAGCCAAGUGAAGCCAAGUGAAGUGGGGACGCGGUGGCAUUGACCCCGUAUAGUAAGUAAGUGCUCGUUAUCGAAUUUGAUAGCACGCCAUCAAGGAAGCGGAAUUGCGUUGAAAAGUACGGUCAUCGAGGACGAAAAGUAUAACGCGUCAUUAUGAUCUACACGCAUAUAUACACGCGAGUACAUACGACGCAAAUUUGUUUUACGAAUGAAUGAUGCAUGCGUUCACAUGAGCAUCAGCAAGAAUUUCGAUGCGUAGAACUGUGAAGAACGAGUUACUUGAACAUACAUCGCGAGUUAGCGAAUACUGUCUGCGUAGGUGGGGAUGCUAUGACCACCAGAAAAUAUCUUCGAUAUCCUAUUUAACAUAAUAAAAAUUGGAAUGAUCUUCAAAUUCUAUAAAAAUAGAGAAUUCUUCGAUGCUUUUCUAUUUUAUUGUCUUUUUAUAUUUUCUUAUUUUGUGUUAAUAGAUGAAGUUAGAUAUUUUUUACACAAUUAAAUAUUAGAAAAAACCUGAUGUAAAACCUGAUGUAUAUAAGAAAAAAAAUACUAUCAAUUUUUAAAUAUAUCACGAAGCAUGAGAAACAAAAUUGUAGAAAAAUUACCUUUUUUCCGAUUUUGAUAAUUUUUAAAUAUGUUAAAUAUGUUACAGAAAAUAUACGAGAUUCUGAACAAUAUUUUUCUAUAUAUGUGUAAUGUUUUAUAUAAUUAAUCUUAGUUUUCAAAAUAUUUGUUAAAAAUUGCUACUAUAACAUUUUAUCUAUAUAUAAAUUCGUAUCUUUCGUCGAAAAUUAUUCAUGAAUUUGAAUGACGAUGAAUUUGAAAUAUCUUAAAUCCAUCGCAUAUCGAGUUUGAGCAUAUCGCAGAAAUCAUCUUUUGGAUCUAUAAAAUAUAAAAAUGAAAUAUAAAAGAAUUCUUGAGUGAUUGAUGAAUGAGAUAAGGAGGAGAAGGAGCUUUGACUAUAAAAUUUUAGCUUCGAGUUUUUUAUUAAUUUUCAAGAUAUUAAGAAAAAACUUUUGAUAGAAUCUAUUGAAUUCUAUACGUGCACGUCCUUGACAAUGUAUGCGUCAUCAUAAUGCGAUUGCUUAUCUAUUGUUUCUAUAAACAUACGCACUGAACGGCAUUUAAAAUAUAUAACGGGUAGAUCGGUCAAAAACCUAUUUCUUUAUGGAUUCUAAUUACAAUAAUAGAUAUCAGAAGCAAUAUUAUUAUUCAUUAUAAGUUCGAUUAUUCUAAUUUUCGUUGCCAAGAGUUGUUUUAUUUUUCUAUUCCGCGAAUUUCGAGGAAACUCAAUAUCGAAUUUGAGAAAUUUUAAGUCUCGUCGUAAUCCGUAAGCAAAUAAGUUUUUGAUCGAUCUAUUUGUUAUAUAUUUUGAAUACCAUUUGCUAUAAUAUAUUUAGAAACAAUAGAUAAGCGGUCACAUGAAUUUAUAGAAACGCUAACGAAUAGAUAAGCUAACGCACACUUAUCAAGAGCAUGUAUGUACAGAUAAAAUUCAAUGCAUUAUAUCAAAAGAUUUUUAUUAAUAUCUCGGAAACUUGUAAAGAUUCAAGAUAAAAUUGUAUAUUCUUCUUCAUCUUUUUUCAUUUCUCAAAAUUUCAAUAUAUUUAAUAUGUACAUUUUGUAUAUACAGUCUAUAUAUUUAUGUAUAUAUAUAUAUACUUAUAUAUAUAUACAUAUAUAUACAGUCUAUAUAUUUAUGUAUAUACAUGUAUAUUUUGUAUAUUUUUACUUUAUCCAGAUGAAUAUUAUAUGUAGAAAUUAACUCAUUAUACAUUUUGGAUGCAAUCGUUGUGAUAUAUUUAUAUAAACAAUGGAUAAAUGUCAAACAUGUUGUAUUCUAUCGCAUAAAUUUUAUAUAAUAAUCAAAAUCUUUUUAUAUAAUAAAAUUUAAUAUAAUAAAAAUGAACAAUCUUGAAAAUUUCGAACAUAUUUUAUGAAACAAUGAGGAGAAUUUUUUGAUAUUUUUUUAAGAAUAAAGUUUUAAAAGAUUGCAGUCAACUAACAUGAAAUUUGAUUUAUAACAGAGAGAGAGAGAGAGAGAGAAAGAGAGAGAGAGAGAGAGAGAGUGAGAUAAGUUUUAAAUUAUUAUUUUUCGAAAUAUUAAUAACGAGUUUUCAGCAUCAUAUCCUGAAUAUUAUGUAUCACUAAUACAACUAUCUUUGCUGGGUAGUUAUCGUUAUCAUCGACAAUCGAUUAGCUAAUGAUAUAAUAAUAUCGAAUUAAAAUAGAAAGUUUCUGCGGAUCUAAUCAUCAAAUGUAUUCCUGAAUUACAAGAAAUUCUUAAAAACAAUAAAGAUUUAUAUUUUUAGUCAGUCUUAUAGCUGUUAAUUUAUUAUUAUAAUGUUUCUCUAAAUUGCUAAAAUUUUAUAUGGAGCAUCCUAUAAUAAUAUAAAAACGGAUAUCGUCAUUAUCAUAAAUUAUCAUUAUUAUUAUAUAUGCUAUUCGAUAUAAUUUCUAUAUAAGACAGAUAAUUUCUAUAUAAGAAUAGGCAGCAUUCAAUGUAUAUUACGUACAAUGUUUGUAUAUUUGUACAGAGUAUUCAGUACAUGGUAUCUUUAUUAAUAUCUUGAAAAUAAUUGAUUUGAAUAAAAAUUUUAUAUUUAAAAUCCA